AGCGAUGAAACACCUUCGGGUGUGAAUUAGCGGCGAACGGGUGAGGAACACGUGAGAAAUCUGCCUUCAACACUGGGAUAACUCCGGGAAACCGGGGCUAAUACCGGAUAUGAAAUCUGCGGGCAUCCGCGGAUUUGGAAAGUUUUUCGGUUGAAGAUGAUCUCGCGGCCUAUCAGCUUGUUGGUGAGGUAAUGGCUCACCAAGGCGACGACGGGUAGCCGGCCUGAGAGGGCGACCGGCCACACUGGGACUGAGACACGGCCCAGACUCCUACGGGAGGCAGCAGUGGGGAAUAUUGGGCAAUGGAGGAAACUCUGACCCAGCGACGCCGCGUGCGGGAUGAAGGCCUUCGGGUUGUAAACCGCUUUCAGCAGGGAAGAAGCGAAAGUGACGGUACCUGCAGAAGAAGCACCGGCUAACUAUGUGCCAGCAGCCGCGGUAAUACAUAGGGUGCAAGCGUUGUCCGGAAUUAUUGGGCGUAAAGAGCUCGUAGGUGGUUCGUCACGUCGGAUGUGAGACUCUGGGGCUUAACCCCAGACCUGCAUUCGAUACGGGCGAGCUUGAGCAUGGUAGGGGAGUCUGGAAUUCCUGGUGUAGCGGUGGAAUGCGCAGAUAUCAGGAGGAACACCAAUGGCGAAGGCAGGACUCUGGGCCAUUACUGACACUGAGGAGCGAAAGCGUGGGGAGCGAACAGGAUUAGAUACCCUGGUAGUCCACGCCGUAAACGGUGGGCACUAGUUGUGGGGACCUUCCACGGUC
This 759-nucleotide ribosomal RNA is filed under the name uncultured Actinomycetes bacterium. RNAcentral describes it as "bacterial SSU rRNA". It matches the Rfam family "Bacterial small subunit ribosomal RNA", at positions 65 to 839 of the family's 1533-position model. Lineage: Bacteria; Bacillati; Actinomycetota; Actinomycetes. The record is from RNAcentral.